Molecule: transfer RNA, 75 nt
Filed under: Diacronema viridis
Lineage: Eukaryota; Haptophyta; Pavlovophyceae; Pavlovales; Pavlovaceae
Description: tRNA-Met
Rfam family: tRNA
About the family: Transfer RNA (tRNA) molecules are approximately 80 nucleotides in length. Their secondary structure includes four short double-helical elements and three loops (D, anti-codon, and T loops).
Source: RNAcentral
CGCGAGAUAGAGCAGUCUGGUUAGCUCGUUAGGCUCAUGCCCUAAAGAUCGAAGGUUCAACUCCUUCUCUCGCUA